AGAAAAGAAAUCAACUGUCCAUUCAUCCAUCCAGUGAUUAGACACUAGAUGCCAACUGCACAUGAAACACACCAAGUUCAAAGAGUCACUUUAAUUCAGUGACAAAAUUACUGUAAAUCGUUAAGUUUAUAGCUAAUCAGCCAACAUAGGUGAAGAGAAUAAUAAAAUGUAUUCCAGUGAAAUGAAAUAAUGCAGAUAAAGAGAAAAUAGAGCAUAGGUGGGAACAACUAGAAAAUAGGUCAACUUUAGAUUUAAUCCCAAUCAUAUUAGUAAUGAAGUAUAACUUGCUUCCCCAGCCACUUGAAAAUGUUAGUAGCGAGAUGCACUGGAAAACUAGAAAUUGCUAGGAUGUAGUCUAUGUAAGGCUCCGGCAAAUGUUGCUUACAAGAAACUUAACUCUUGGGGGUGUGUGUUAAAAAUUGGCAAAAAUAUACUUUAUAUUGCACACAUUCUGUAUGUUUAUGGUAUAUAAUAUUUAUACUAUGAAAUAUGCAUAUAAUGGAAAAUUCUUAGAUUUAGAUAAUUAAUCAGUAUUCCUCAUUUUUGUGGCAAGAAUAUUGAACAUCUAACAGUCUCCAAGUGUGCAAUGUGUUGUGAUUAGCUACAGCUGCCCUGACUUAUUAGAUCUCUUGAAGCAAUUCUUUCUGACUGAUACUUUGUGUCCUAGGUCUAACAACCUCCAUCUCCCCUAGCUCCUGUCUCUAAUAAGCACCAUGUUGCUCUCUGCCGUAUGAGCUCAGCUCUAUCAGUUGCCCCAUGUACAUGAGAUCCAGCAGUGUUUGCCUUUUUGGGUUUGGUUUAUCCCACUUAAUGCUUUCAGGCUCAUCCCAGAACCAUAAGGAAAGGCUCUCCUUUGCAGUAGCAUCCCACUGUGUGGCUACACAUUUCCUUUCUCCUGUCAUCAGCUGAGAGGCACCCGGACUGCUUACUUAGCUUGGCAGCUAUGAAUAAUGAUACUUGGGAUAUAGGAUUGCAGGUGUCUCUGUAAAAUACCUGUUUUGUUCCCAUUGGUUACAUUGUAUUCAUCCAUCUGCUUAUUUCAGGAGAGAAGCAUUCACGGGCACAGAGAUCGAGGAUGGCUUAUAGGAGUCUGCUCUCUUCGUUCACUUGUGGGUCCUAGAGCUUGAGCCCGGAUCACCAGGCAUGGCAGCAAGUGCUUUCCCUACUCAGGGUCUUUCUGCCCCUUGACUGACCUCAUGCUCACUGCUGCAUCUGCUGCAUCUGCUGCAUCUGCUGCAUCUGCUGCAUCUGCUGCAUAUUAUGGUCGUUCUGUUUAGAUUUUGAUUUUUUUGGAGAAACUUUCAUGCUAUUUUCUAUCACCUCUGUAUAAAUUUACAUUUCUACCAACAGAAUAUCAGGGUCUGCUUUUCUUUGCAUGCUUGUCAAAACCUAUUUUUAAAAAAUAGUAAUCAUUGGGUGGGUAGGGGAGUGGGGGUGGGCGGCUAUGGGGAACUUUUGGUAUAGCAUUGGAAAUGUAAAUGAGCUAAAUACCUAAUAAAAAAUGGAAAAAAAUAAAAAAAAUCACUCUAUUUCACUGUGAAAAAAAAACACUAAACACAAUCCUUCAGUGGCAUAAUAUCUUUAUUAUUAGAGAGUUUCAUACCUGCUUGCCUUGUAUUUUGCUUAUAUUCACCCCCACUUCCCCAACGCUUUCCAGAUCUACCCUCACCUUUCCAACUUC
RNAcentral lists this long non-coding RNA (1681 nucleotides) under Mus musculus (house mouse). RNAcentral describes it as "long non-coding RNA chr15:100863035-100864716". The record is from RNAcentral. Lineage: Eukaryota; Metazoa; Chordata; Mammalia; Rodentia; Muridae.